This 458-nucleotide ribosomal RNA is filed under the name uncultured bacterium. Its description in RNAcentral is "partial 16S ribosomal RNA". It matches the Rfam family "Bacterial small subunit ribosomal RNA", at positions 338 to 795 of the family's 1533-position model. The record is from RNAcentral.
CCUACGGGAGGCUGCAGUGGGGAAUAUUGCACAAUGGGGGAAACCCUGAUGCAGCGACGCCGCGUGAGUGAAGAAGUAUUUCGGUAUGUAAAGCCUUAUCAGCAGGGAAGAAAUAGCGACCUUUGGGUCGCCAGACGGUACCUGAUUAAGAAGCCCCGGCUAACUACGUGCCAGCAGCCGCGGUAAUACAUAGGGGGCAAGCGUUAUCCGGGUUUAUGGGUGGUAAAGGGGGGGUAGACGGCAGCGCAAGUCUGAAGUGAAAUGCCGGGGCUUAACCCCGGAACUGCUUUGGAAACUGUGCAGCGAGAGUGCAGGAGAGGUAAGUGGAAUGCCUAGUGUAGCGGUGAAAUGCGUAGAUAUUAGGAGGAACACCAGUGGCGAAGGCGGCGUACUGGACUGUAACUGACGUUGAGGCUCGAAAGCGUGGGGAGCAAACAGGAUUAGAUACCCGUGUAGUC